UACGGAGGGGGCCAGCGUUGUUCGGAAUUAUUGGGCGUAAAGGGCGCGUAGGCGGCCGAAUAAGUCUGACGUGAAAUCCCCCGGCCCAACCGGGGAACUGCGUUUGAAACUGUCCGGCUCGAGUCUGGGAGAGGGUAGCGGAAUUCCCAGUGUAGCGGUGAAAUGCGUAGAUAUCAGGAGGAACACCUGUGGUGUAGACAGCUUACUGGACCAUUUCUGACGCUGAGACACGAAAGCGUGGGUAGCAAACAGG
RNAcentral lists this ribosomal RNA (253 nucleotides) under uncultured prokaryote. RNAcentral's name for it is "partial 16S ribosomal RNA". It matches the Rfam family "Bacterial small subunit ribosomal RNA", at positions 524 to 776 of the family's 1533-position model. The record is from RNAcentral.